GCCAUAUAACACUGAAACAUUGGUUCCCAAACGAUCACUAAAGUUAAGCAACAUCAAGCCUGAUCAGUACCUAGAUGGGUGUCCACUUGAGAAGAUCAGAUGUCGUA
This is a non-coding RNA of Acanthosepion pharaonis, 107 nucleotides long. Lineage: Eukaryota; Metazoa; Mollusca; Cephalopoda; Sepiida; Sepiidae. The record is from the annotation of a GenBank genome assembly.